UACGUAGGUGGCGAGCGUUGUCCGGAUUUACUGGGCGUAAAGGGAGCGUAGGCGGACUUUUAAGUGAGAUGUGAAAUACCCGGGCUCAACUUGGGUGCUGCAUUUCAAACUGGAAGUCUAGAGUGCAGGAGAGGAGAGUGGAAUUCCUAGUGUAGCGGUGAAAUGCGUAGAUAUUAGGAGGAACACCAGUAGCGAAGGCGGCUCUCUGGACUGUAACUGACGCUGAGGCACGAAAGCGUGGGGAGCAAACAGGAUUAGAUACCCCCGUAGUCCCU
This 275-nucleotide ribosomal RNA is filed under the name uncultured prokaryote. Its description in RNAcentral is "partial 16S ribosomal RNA". It matches the Rfam family "Bacterial small subunit ribosomal RNA", at positions 524 to 798 of the family's 1533-position model. The record is from RNAcentral.